CGGUCGACCGGCGCACGGGUGAGUAACGCGUAUCCAACCUGCCCACCACUUGGGGAUAACCUUGCGAAAGUAAGACUAAUACCCAAUGAUAUCUCUAGAAGACAUCUGAAAGAGAUUAAAGAUUUAUCGGUGAUGGAUGGGGAUGCGUCUGAUUAGCUUGUUGGCGGGGUAACGGCCCACCUAGUCAACGAUGGAUAGGGGUUCUAAGAGGAAGGCCCCCCACAUUGGAACUGAGACACGGUCCAA
This 246-nucleotide ribosomal RNA is filed under the name uncultured bacterium. Its description in RNAcentral is "partial 16S ribosomal RNA". It matches the Rfam family "Bacterial small subunit ribosomal RNA", at positions 88 to 334 of the family's 1533-position model. The record is from RNAcentral.